This 231-nucleotide unclassified non-coding RNA is filed under the name Hevea brasiliensis (rubber tree). Lineage: Eukaryota; Viridiplantae; Streptophyta; Magnoliopsida; Malpighiales; Euphorbiaceae. The record is from RNAcentral.
GUCCACGUUUAUGACCCCUAAAACAGUUCCAUAGAAAAUGUUUGACGGGCCAUGUAUACCAGGAUCUAGUGUAUCUUUUCUUUCAAUAUAGAGGGAGACAUUAAACAUCUGGCCUUUUGAACGGAUCGAUCGCCUUGUUGAUCAUAGAGGUUUUCUUUUAUCUCUUGGUCAAGGGUUGCCAUGAGGGGUCAUUGAUUUCCUCCUCAACGCCUAUCGAUUUCUUGCUGCCCG